GCCAUCUUAGCUCAGUUGGUAGAGCGACGCACUCGUAACGCGUAGGUCAUCGGUUCAAUCCCGAUAGAUGGCU
RNAcentral lists this transfer RNA (73 nucleotides) under Candidatus Magasanikiibacteriota bacterium. Its description in RNAcentral is "Candidatus Magasanikbacteria bacterium tRNA-Thr". It matches the Rfam family "tRNA". Rfam says of the family: Transfer RNA (tRNA) molecules are approximately 80 nucleotides in length. Their secondary structure includes four short double-helical elements and three loops (D, anti-codon, and T loops). Lineage: Bacteria; Candidatus Magasanikiibacteriota. The record is from RNAcentral.